RNAcentral lists this ribosomal RNA (497 nucleotides) under uncultured bacterium. RNAcentral's name for it is "partial 16S ribosomal RNA". It matches the Rfam family "Bacterial small subunit ribosomal RNA", at positions 28 to 507 of the family's 1533-position model. The record is from RNAcentral.
GAUGAGCGCUGGCGGCGUGCCUAAUACAUGCAAGUCGAGCGAACAGACGAGGAGCUUGCUCCUCUGACGUUAGCGGCGGACGGGUGAGUAACACGUGGAUAACCUACCUAUAAGACUGGGAUAACUUCGGGAAACCGGAGCUAAUACCGGAUAAUAUAUUGAACCGCAUGGUUCAAUAGUGAAAGACGGUUUUGCUGUCACUUAUAGAUGGAUCCGCGCCGCAUUAGCUAGUUGGUAAGGUAACGGCUUACCAAGGCAACGAUGCGUAGCCGACCUGAGAGGGUGAUCGGCCACACUGGAACUGAGACACGUUCCAGACUCCUACGGGAGGCAGCAGUAGGGAAUCUUCCGCAAUGGGCGAAAGCUUGACGGAGCAACGCCGCGUGAGUGAUGAAGGUCUUCGGAUCGUAAAACUCUGUUAUUAGGGAAGAACAAAUGUGUAAGUAACUAUGCACGUCUUGACGGUACCUAAUCAGAAAGCCACGGCUAACUACGUG